CCUACGGGCGGCAGCAGUGGGGAAUAUUGGGCAAUGGGCGCAAGCCUGACCCAGCAACGCCGCGUGAAGGAAGAAGGCUUUCGGGUUGUAAACUUCUUUUGUCAGGGACGAAGCAAGUGACGGUACCUGAGGAAUAAGCCACGGCUAACUACGUGCCAGCAGCCGCGGUAAUACGUAGGUGGCAAGCGUUAUCCGGAUUUAAUGGGUGUAAAGGGCGUGUAGGCGGGAAUGCAAGUCAGAUGUGAAAACUAUGGGCUCAACCCGUAGCCUGCAUUUGAAACUGUAUUUCUUGAGUGCUGGAGAGGCAGGCGGAAUUCGUGGUGUAGCGGUGAAAUGCGUAGAUAUCAGGAGGAACACCGGUGGCGAAGGCAGAUUGCUGGACAGCAACUGACGCUGAGGCGCGAAAGCGUGGGGAGCAAACAGGAUUAGAUACCCUGGUAGUC
Molecule: ribosomal RNA, 443 nt
Filed under: uncultured bacterium
Lineage: Bacteria
Description: partial 16S ribosomal RNA
Rfam family: Bacterial small subunit ribosomal RNA
Source: RNAcentral